This 812-nucleotide small RNA is filed under the name Drosophila ananassae. RNAcentral describes it as "GF28134". Lineage: Eukaryota; Metazoa; Arthropoda; Insecta; Diptera; Drosophilidae. The record is from RNAcentral.
GUUUUUUUAUUAAAACAAUGAAAAUACAUUGGCUUUAAAAUAAGGAUGAGCUCAUGGGCGUGUUUAAAGACCGGUUUCCAAAGCAUGCCAACGAGCAAGCCGAAAAAACUCAUAAAACCACGAAAUGCAGCACGUGGUAAACGCACUUAACAGGUAACACCCAUUUGGGGCAAUGAUGAUAAGGUCCACGAGGAGAGAAAAGAAGUGAUGGAGCAAAAGUUGGGGAGCCUUUUCUUAAAGUAUAGUUGCCCCAAAUAGAAAUGCAAGGUGUACCAUCUACAACAGCCGAAAACAAGGCCAAUUCCGAGGAUAAAACAACUACAUGAGAGGAUUCAGCAGCACAACAUCGUAGACAGCAGUACAAACAUUUAAAACCGCAAACACCAACCAACUUGGCAGCAACAUAGGAGACCGCAGAAACAAUGCCACGCUUCUCAAAGUGCUCCCAAGUUGCCUCUGCCGCUGCCACUUCCACGCCGGCCCAUGCCUUUGGAAUCCCAUACUUAAUGUGAAUGAGAGCCGUUUAGAAUCGCGGUUAUGAGGAGCAUCCAAUGGCGACGGGGAGUGGAGCUCGAGGGACAGUUAAUAAACUUCUGGCAGGGCCCGAAACUUGGUCUAAAACCAUGGCGAGAAAGUUGAGAAGCGCAGAGAAAUUAGUUGGCAAGACGUGCGUAAGGUGUGUUACGGACAGUUCCGCUUCAGACCGUAAACCAGAGGGAUCCAAUGUGGUUCGGUCCCGGGAAUCUUGUCAGUCAGUCACUUAGACCGUUUUGGGGCCAAGCACAGAGAGAAAAUGGCGGCGACAUUAUCCC